RNAcentral lists this ribosomal RNA (537 nucleotides) under uncultured bacterium. RNAcentral describes it as "partial 16S ribosomal RNA". It matches the Rfam family "Bacterial small subunit ribosomal RNA", at positions 355 to 899 of the family's 1533-position model. The record is from RNAcentral.
UGGGGAAUAUUGCACAAUGGGCGCAAGCCUGAUGCAGCAACGCCGCGUGAGGGACGACGGCCUUCGGGUUGUAAACCUCUUUUAGUAGGGAAGAAGCGAAAGUGACGGUACCUGCAGAAAAAGCACCGGCUAACUACGUGCCAGCAGCCGCGGUAAUACGUAGGGUGCGAGCGUUGUCCGGAAUUAUUGGGCGUAAAGAGCUCGUAGGCGGUCUGUCGCGUCUGCUGUGAAAACCCCGAGGCUCAACCUCGGGCCUGCAGUGGGUACGGGCAGACUAGAGUGCGGUAGGGGAGAAUGGAAUUCCUGGUGUAGCGGUGGAAUGCGCAGAUAUCAGGAGGAACACCGAUGGCGAAGGCAGUUCUCUGGGCCGUAACUGACGCUGAGGAGCGAAAGCGUGGGGAGCGAACAGGAUUAGAUACCCUGGUAGUCCACGCCGUAAACGUUGGGCGCUAGAUGUGGGGCACCAUUCCACGGUUUCCGUGUCGCAGCUAACGCAUUAAGCGCCCCGCCUGGGGCAGUACGGCCGCAAGGCUAAAA